This 673-nucleotide ribosomal RNA is filed under the name uncultured bacterium. Its description in RNAcentral is "bacterial SSU rRNA". It matches the Rfam family "Bacterial small subunit ribosomal RNA", at positions 8 to 691 of the family's 1533-position model. The record is from RNAcentral.
AGAGUUUGAUCAUGGCUCAGGACGAACGCUGGCGGCGUGCUUAACACAUGCAAGUCGAACGGUGAUGAUGGGGCUUGCCCUGUCGGAUCAGUGGCGAACGGGUGAGUAACACGUGAGUAACCUGUCCCAGACUCUGGGGAUAACUCCGGGAAACCGGAGCUAAUACCGGAUAGGACCCUUGGACGCAUGUUCUGGGGGUGGAAAGUUUUUCGGUUUGGGAUGGGCUCGCGGCCUAUCAGCUUGUUGGUGAGGUAGUGGCUCACCAAGGCGACGACGGGUAGCCGGCCUGAGAGGGCGACCGGCCACACUGGGACUGAGACACGGCCCAGACUCCUACGGGAGGCAGCAGUGGGGAAUAUUGCACAAUGGGCGCAAGCCUGAUGCAGCGACGCCGCGUGAGGGAUGACGGCCUUCGGGUUGUAAACCUCUUUCAGCAGGGAAGAAGCGAAAGUGACGGUACCUGCAGAAGAAGCACCGGCUAACUACGUGCCAGCAGCCGCGGUAAUACGUAGGGUGCGAGCGUUGUCCGGAAUUAUUGGGCGUAAAGAGCUUGUAGGCGGUUUGUCGCGUCUGCUGUGAAAAUCCGGGGCUCAACCCCGGACUUGCAGUGGGUACGGGCAGACUGGAGUGUGGUAGGGGAGACUGGAAUUCCUGGUGUAGCGGUGGAAUGCGC